This is a long non-coding RNA of Cavia porcellus (domestic guinea pig), 2868 nucleotides long. RefSeq lists it as uncharacterized. The transcript is spliced from 2 exons. Lineage: Eukaryota; Metazoa; Chordata; Mammalia; Rodentia; Caviidae. The record is from RefSeq and is a predicted model, not a curated record.
GGAGGUGGGAAGGAGCUGGGGUGGGACGAAUCCCUGGAUGCUGUGAGGGCUGCUGGAAGUUCAGAACCGACUCCUCUGUUUCAGUUAGGGAAACGAAACGAAGCUGAGCUCGGGAGUUUAAGUUUGAAAUUUGAAGCAAGAAGCCGGGCGUGGUGGCUCAAGCCUGUAAUCCCAGCAUUCAGGAGGCUGAGGUGGGAGGAUCGUUUCGAGUUCAAGACCAGCCUGGGUUACAAAGUGAGCUCCAGGCCAGCCUGAACUGCAUAUCGAGACCCCGUCUCAAAAAAAAAGACACACACACACACACACACACACACACACACACACACACACAAAAAAAAAAAAAAAAAAAGAAAGAAAAAUUUGAAGCAAGAUAGGUGCCUGCUUGGCAAGCACGAUUCCAGUACACUCCCUCAAAAAAAAAAAAAAAAAAAAAAAAAGAAGGAAAGCAUGUGUUCUUAGUUCUAGUUUUCUCAGUUUCUAGAAUUCAGAGUGUCAUAAAAUUAAGACCAACACUUCCCAAACUGGCAUUUGAAGUCCUCUGCUUCCCUAGUCUUGUUGCAGGCAGAACACGCUAAUUAUCUUUGAAGUCUUUCCAGUCUCUGCCUUUGCACAUUAUGCUCUUUUGAAAUGUCCUUUUUGCCAUCUGCUUCUGACCCUAAAUUUUUUUUGCUUUACUUCAGAUUUUCAUUUCCGAGUUGAGUAAGGCUAGGCAGAGAAGCUGGAUAAUGGAGUACUAGAAAUUUUAUUUCUCUUCAGUGCUGGGGAUGGAAUCCAGGACUUUGCUAAUACUAGGCCAAAGUUCUACUGGCUACACCUCCUGCCCAGAUUUGGUUCUGGCAAUAGGUAGUAGACACAAUGUGCAGAGAUUAAGUUUCUAAACCUCAAAUUAAAUUCUGUGAAUCACUGUGGGGAUCCUAUCCUGUAGGUCUAAAGAGAUUAGAACAGUCAAAGAUUUUUUUGUUGAGGGGAGCUCAUAAUGGAAAGAGGUCAUACCAGCAAAGGAUGGAUAGAGGUGAAGUUAUAGAAAACUUGGGAAACAGAUCAACCAGUUCCCUAGUUUUGGCUAGAAUCUGCAACAGUACCCAGCACAGGAUUUGAAAGGGUUCAAGACACAGCUUGUGAGUCCCUCCUGAUUUCAUGGCAUGGAACAGCUAGAGACUGUUUUCUUUGCAGUGCUGGGAACUGAACCUAGGACCUCAUGCAUGACAGGCAAGCGUAAUACACUGUUACAUCCCUAGCCCAAAGGCUCACUUAACUUGAACCUUGAGCUCCACAGUUGAGCUUUCUGUACCAUCACACAGGGAAGUAUAGGGAGCAGCUCCAAGGAGGGGGGGGGUGCUCUUCUGUACCAUCACACAGGGAAGUAUAGGGAGCAGCUCCAAGGAGGGGGGGGGUGCUCAACCCAAACAGGACAGACUUUUCUAAUCCCAUCUUUUAUUACAAUGGAGAAACACGAACCUCCAAUAGCUCAAUAGUGUAAAUUAAGGAGAUAUGCAUUAAUAUCCUAUUCCCAAGAAGGAAUACAGUGUUAGGCAAGAUAACCUUAAUUAGGAGUAAUACCAUUUACUCCAACAGAAUACCUAUUAUGUUGCAGAGUUUAGGAAAGUUCACUUUUUUUUUUUUUUUUGAGACAGGGUCUUACUGUAUAGCGAUUGGCUUCAAACUCAGUGAUCCUCCUGUCUCAGCUUCCCAAGGCAUGUGCCACCUCACCUGAUCAGAAAGGUCAAUUUUUAUAGUGCAGCUGCUUUUGUCAUGAGGGCCUUUGGCACUCUUGGGUUUAGGGACUAAAAAUGAGGCUGACAGCUAAGCGUGGUAAUCCCAAUUGCUCGUGAGGCUGAGGCAAAAGGACUGCAGGCUUGAGAUCAGCCUCAGUUACAUGGCAGUGUCAAGGCCAGUAUGGACUACUGAGACUGUUUCAAAAGUGCAGCCAAGGCUGCAGCCUCCUAAGACUUGUGCAUUCAGACCUGCAUCCCCAGUGAUGAAUGUCCUCAGAUGCAGCUAGUAGACCCUAGACUACAAGAAAACGUUGCUAGUGGUAGUGGUACACACCUGCAAUCCUAAGACUUGGAAAGCUGAGGCAGGACCUUGACAUUUGAGGUCACUGUGAACUACAUAGUGAGAGCCUAUUUUGAAAAAAAAAAAAAAAAAAAACAAUAUAUCGCUAGAUCUCAAAAACUCUUUCUCAAAGCCCUGGGCAAGUAAGCCCAGACCCUACCAAACCCUUUUACCCAUUUCCUGCCAGGUAAGAUCAAUACAAAACAAGAACUCUUUCUUCUUUUGGGCUCAGCUACUUUCUCAGGCCCACCCCUUCCCUAGAUGCCACAAGAUACACACAUCAGACCCCCUUAAAUAGUUGUUUAUUGGCAGUGGGAUGGAAAGAGUGAGUGCCGGAGCUAGCGCACACAGAAAACACCACACACCGAGGUCACAGGUCACGAGGGAGGCAAGAGUGAUCAGAAAGCUUGGAGCCCCAUGAGGCCCUUUUCAAGAGUGUUGGUGGUACAGGUGCCUGGAGUGUUGUGGGGGGCAGCCUCAGAACACAUCAGCUUAGUAGGCAUGGUUAGAGAUGAAGAGGGACUCACUGGCUGCAGCCCCAGCCUGACCACUUGGAGUGUACUUUCCUUGACAGGCGAGGCUGUUGGCCUAAGAGGAAGAGGGGCCAGAGUGAGGUUAGAGUCACUUCUUCUCAGCGUCACCCCAACUUCCCCAUUCCCUGUCCACAUUUUGCCUGUCCUUACCAGGGCUCGCUUGAUAUAUUCCUCCUGAGCAGCCUUGAGGUUCUCCUUCUUCCCACCCCAUGCCUUUAGUGCCGAAGCCUGCAAGGCCCGACCGUAGGAGAAGGUCAGGGCCCAUGGCUUCAGGAGGGGA